AAUCAGUGUUUCCCUCUAGAAGAGCAAAUAGGAAAUGGGAAAGGCUAAGAACAGCAACACCAAGAACCCUGCAAAGACAUCUUGAAUUUUACCUAGCAGAUCUGUUAUCUGUCGUGGCGCUGUGGCUGAAGUAAUCCUGCAACCGUUUCAAGCAACCUGCAAGGAGGGCGUCCCGGUCGGAACAAGCACUCCCAGCAUCCAGCUCUUAGUUCCUAAAAUACCUUCUCCACCAAGUCCCCAUUUCUGAUCUGGGUGAGGGAGUGUUCAGGUUGAUACUGAACAUCCCGGGCUAACAGGCAAGAAAGUUCUCCAACACCAGUCAAGACAUGUAGAAGAACAUAGUUGCUGGCUUAAAGCGGCUCCCACUGCUCACAUUUGUGACAAUUUGAACAUCAAAAAGAAUAAUGGUGAUGGAUUAUAACAUUGAGUUAAAAUAACAAGCUGGGAGCAGCACUUUGGGAGGCUGAGGCAGGGGGAUCACUUGAGGUCAGGAGUUUGAGACCAGCCUGGGCAACAUAGCAAGAC
Molecule: long non-coding RNA, 525 nt
Organism: Lemur catta (Ring-tailed lemur)
Lineage: Eukaryota; Metazoa; Chordata; Mammalia; Primates; Lemuridae
Exons: 3
Source: RefSeq, a predicted model, not a curated record